RNAcentral lists this long non-coding RNA (15517 nucleotides) under Nicotiana benthamiana. RNAcentral's name for it is "long non-coding RNA (NBEN_LNC024094)". Lineage: Eukaryota; Viridiplantae; Streptophyta; Magnoliopsida; Solanales; Solanaceae. The record is from RNAcentral.
CCUCUGGACUGAAGGAUCACUCCCAAACUAUAGCUGCGGUCCAUAGGGUGUGUCCUGACCUGUGCACAAAAGGGAACAGAAGCUUAGUAUCAGCACAACCGACCCCAUGUACAGGUAAGUUCUCGGCCUAACCCCGACGGGGUAGUGACAAGGCUUAACCGGACCUACCACAAUCAACCUGUACAGAUGUAUGUGCAAUAAUAAAAAAAAUUACAAAAUCUAAAUAGAUAACGGGAAGGGGACAUGCUGGGGGUAUAGCAGUUCAAUAAUCUAAUCAUCAACAACAAGGAAGCGGAAAGAGUAUAACAAACACCAAUAUGAGAAGGACCAGUAAAACAAACGUUGCACGGCACCACCCAUCGUGCUUUUAUUACUCAUCCUCACCCAAUCAAUAGUAUGGAGUAGAUCAAUGAUUAUAUGCGUCUACAGUGGACGGCGCGCCACACGCUCUCGUAUUCACUGUGCACAAUGUCACCAGCAUCUCAGGCCAAUAACAGUAGGUGGACGGCUUGCCACACGAUCCCAUUCAUAUAUCUCGUUGUCGGCGUGCCACACGAUACCAUUCAUAAUAUAUCGUGGUCGGCGUGCCACUCGAUCCAAAUUUGUAAUGCAAUUGAAUAAUGCUAACAAUCUCUUCACGGAAGAUUCCGAUUGGGAAGCAUAUCAUUAUAACAGUUAGCCCGGCAAGGGUACAGCUAGCAGCCCAAAAUAUCCCCGCAAGGGAAGAACAACUCCACAACUAGUCUUGGCAAGGUAAAAUGAUUCAACAUCAAUUCUCGGCAAGGGAAAACACCAUAAUUCCUUCCUUAACUCACUUUCUUCUCAACUAUCAUUUCACAGUUCAUUUAACAAGUAAUUAUCACAAUUGUUCACUUCUUUCGACAAUUUAAUAGCAAUUACGACUCACGGUCAUGCUAGACUCGGGCGCAUAGGUAACCGUCGCCAUACCUACACACCGAUUCCACAUAGCACAUAGCAAAUAUUAUCCUAAUCCUAUACCCUCAAGCCAAAGUUAGAUCAAACACUUACCUCAAAUUCGAAAAUAGCAACUCAAAGCUCAACAAUCGCCUUUCCUCUAGAAUUCGACACCGAACCAACGAUAUCUAACAAAAUCAGGUUCAAUAUUAUCAAUAAGAAUCCAAAACGACUCACGGUCAUGCGAGACUCGGGCGCAUAGGUAACUGUCACCAUACCUAUACACCAACUCCAUAUAGCACAUAGCAAAUAUUAUCCUAAUCAUAUUCCCUCAAGCCAAAGUUAGAUCGAACACUUACCUCGAAUCCGAAAAUGGCAACUCAAAGCUCCACAAUCGCCUUUCCACUACAAUUCGACUCCGAACCAACGAUAUCUAACAUAAUCAGGUUCAAUAUUAUCAACAAGAAUCCAAAAACACAAUCCCAUAGCCUAGAAAUGCAUUUCCUUGCUUACUUUCAAAAAUACUAAAAUCCGACACCGGCCCACAUGGUCCAAACUCGAGUCUCGGACCAAAACCCAAUCCCCCAUGACCCCACGAGUUCAAAUAAGUAAUUAGAUUUUAAAUUUGACCUAAAAUUAAGGUUGAAAUACCCAAAAUCCCAUAAACCCCAACUAAACCUAAAACCCCUAAAUUCUACUUUGAUUUUAUGUCUAAGUUCAAAACUUUCAAAUUUUCCACUUUUAGUCCGAAACAUGUCAAACGGCGUCAGUUUUCAACCAAACUUUACGGAGAGCGCUUAACGCCCAUUUAAGACUUGUACAAGGCGUCGGAACAAAAAUACAAUCCCGAUACCAUUAUUUUUUAUCAAUUUUCGUUUUCAUUUUUCCUGAAGCAUUUUCAUAAAAUAAUUUCACAGAAAAACUCCGAACUCGGGCCUGGGACCUCGAAAUUUUGAUUCCAAGAAUAUGCCCAUGUACCAAAUUUCAUUACAGACCAUGCGAGACCGUCACAUCACGGGUCCGGGUCCGUUUACCCAAAAUGUUGACCAAAGUCAACUAUAGCAAUACUAGUAUCAAAAUUCAUAGUUUUAACACAGAAUUUAAUUAUUUUGACAUAAAAAUCUUCCGGCUUCACGCCCGGAAUGUGCACGCAAAUUGAGGCAACAAAAUAAUCGGUUUUCAAGGCCUCAAAAGUGCAAAGAAUGGGAGAAUUAGAGUGAUGACCCCUUUGGGUCGUCACAUUGCCUUUGCCCGGCUUGGACUACAGCACAUACUCAAAAUCGGUCAAGAAAUCCUACCACCUAACUUGGUUUGGUAUGAGCUUAUUCUGCAUCUGAAAGUAGCUAGUAUCCGCAUUGUCGGUCUUGACAACGAACUUCAACUCGAGUAAAUAAUGUCCCCUUGUAUGGAGGAAAUGCACAAUGGAAAUCAUUUCCUUCUCUUGCUCUGUGUAACGUUGUUCCAUCUCAUUUAACGUAUGGCUCUCAAAGGCUAUGAGAUGCUUAUCCUGCAUUAGGAUACCCCCAAUGGAAAAUUAUAAGGCAUAUGUGUGCACCUCGAGUGUCUUGGCAAAGUCCAAUAAUGCCAACAUUGGCUCCUCCAUUACAAGUGCUCUACGGCCUUCAAACACAUUUUGACAAUGCUCCGUCCAAGCCCAUGGCUUGUUCUUCUUCAAAAACUCAUAUAAUGGUACGGCCUUUACAAAGUAGCCACUGAUGAAUCAACGCUAGUAGUCAGCAAGGUCAAGGAAGGAUCUCAACUUAAUUACCUUUAUAGGUUCCUCCCACUCCUGGAUAGCAUGUAACUUAGCCGCGUCCAUGCAUAGCUUUCCAUUGAUAAUUACAAGGCCUAAGAAUUGCACUAUUAAUUAUGCAAACUCACAGUUCUCCCUCUUGAUGUAUAGAUCGUUCCCCCGCAAUACUUGGAAAACCUUACUUAAGAUCUUCAUGUGCUCCUCCAAGGUAUUGUUGUAGAUGACUAUGUCGUCUAGGUAGACUACCAUGAACUGAUCAAGGUAGGGAUUGAAAAUCUUGUGUAUAUGAGUGCAAAAUGUGGCAGGUGCAUUGGUUAAGCCGAAGGGAAUCACCAACCACUCAAAGGCUCCAUAUCUCAUCACACAUGUUGUUUUGGCUUAUCCCCUUCUGCAAUGCGAACGUGGUAGUAACCCAUGCAAAUAUCCACCUUGGUAAAGUACUUGACUUGCCCAUGUGAACAACUCAGCAAUGAGUGGCAUCAGGUACUUAUUAUUCAAUGUGAAAUUAUUAAAUGCUCAGUAGUCUAUGCACAAGCGUAGCGACCCAUCCUUCUUCUUCUAGAACAAUGCUGUUGUACCGGAAGGUGCCAUUAAUGGGCGAAUGUGACCAGCAUAUAGCAGCUCUUUCAAUUGUUCCUGAGCUCCUCUUGCUUGGGCGGUGCAAUACCAUACGGGAAAAGGCGGGUGGCUUAGCCCUUGGCUCCAACUCAAUCUUGUGAUCCACCUCUGCCCUAUGCGGAAAGUGCUUAGGCAACUCCUCAGGCAUGACAGGUUUAUUUUCCUCAAGCAACUUCUCUAUUCAAGAUGGCAAUAUCUAUUGAAAACUAUUUUCUUCCUCUACACUUUCAAUGGUUACCACAAACGUCGGCUCCCCCUUCUUGAUCCCCUUGACAAUCUGCAUAGCUGAGAGUUCUGCUUGGAUCUGCCCGUGUGGCAUGGUCACUGUAGGUACCAUUCAAGUGCAUUCAUGCUCCAUAACCAAGAGACGUUGGGGGUAGGGGUCGAUGAAAGUAUGACAAUCUCUAAUGAACUCUUGCCCUAGUAUAAUGUCAAAGAUAUCCAUUGCGGUUACGGUAAGGUUUGUCAAACCUUUCCAAGUUCACAAUUCGACACCAACUCCAUUAGUUACCUCACGGGCAUUUUGUACCUCGGCAUUUACGGUCUUGACGAGAGAUUUGGUUGGAGCAAGCUUCAAGUCUAGUCUCUUUGCGGCAGCCUCAGUCACGAAAUUAUGAGUAUCUUCAGUAUCCAUCAUUGCACAAGCAGUCUUGUUUUUUAUGGUGAGAUCUAUAAACUGAUUGUCAUUCUCGAUAGGUUGGAUAUCUUGCUUCAUGAAAACACCACAAAAUCCUAUCAUACCCAACUUUCUCACCACAUAGUUCUUAUUUCUGAAAGCCCCAAAAGUUGUCAUUUGGUAAAACUGAUAAAACUCUCCUCAAAUAACUAUUUCUACUGGCCCUAGAUCCAGUCUUCUCUUGGCUUUAUAUAACUCAAGCCUAUUAUAAUGCUCAAACUGCGCUAAUCCAACCUCGAGGUUUCAUAAGCCGAGAAUUAAGCAUACUAUCUAUACUUCAAUAAGUUUCCAAACAAGGAUAAGAAAUUGCAGAACGAAUAUAGGGAUAUUGUCUCUGCUACAGAAUCUGCACAAGCUAAUUAAAACAAAUAAAAAGAAUGUACAAAUGUACCAGCUACUUAAAGCUUUAGUAUAACAGUCGAAACCAAUGCCUUGUAGUUCAUAUGAUCUUAGCUGCUUAAAUCUGAACUUAGACUAUAUAGAUCAAUCCAUUUUGCUAUCAGGACAACAUUUCAUUAUUUGCACAUCGAACUGGAGAGAUAUGUCAAAAAUACAAGAUCGACCAGUAUUUUUCUUUUAACUUUUAUAAGAGAAACGAAAAUAAACACCUUAUCUGGCAAGCGUGUAAAAUGCCAAACCACAAAUAUUUUUUACUACUUCAAGACUAACUAGACCAUGUUAAUUUACAUUUCUCAAACUUUCUCCUUGCGACUGCUCCUUCCGUUCAUGGCUUGGUCUAUAUCCGCGACUUGCCGGCAUUGUAACUCCUGCUUAGCGCAAUUUUGUAGCCCGUCCAUGAAGUGGAACAACAAGUCAUCAUUGCUCAGAUUGGGGAUUUAAAUCAUAAGGGUAUUGAAAUCAAUGACAUAGUCAUGUAUGCUUCUUUUUUGCUUCAAUUCCCUAAACUUGCACCGUCCUUGUACAAGAAAUUUUUUGGAAAAAACUAUUGCUUGAACUCGGAUUUGAACUGAUCCCACGUGCUAAUAGUACAUAGACCUUUAUCCACAUCAGCUAUCUUUCUUCUCCACCAUAGCAUGGAAGUCUCUAAUAGGUACAACACGGCAGUGUUGAUCUUGGCCUCAUCGUCCCUCACUUUAUCCACGGAAAGUUUUCCACCUCUUGUGUAUCACGAACACCUUUGAACAUCGGGGGUCUGGGAGCCUCUAUCUUGGCUUCUCUUGUCACCAUAACAUUGAUGGUUGCCUCGGUCAAACCAGCAUCGACAUGCUCCUCGAGUGACUAUCUUUGCCUUAAUAGCAUCGAUAGUACUUGAAGCUUCCAUGGGUCUACACUCCAAGUCAGUGAUUGUUUGCCUUAGUUCCAUCUUGCUCUGUGUACGUCCCUCCAAGAAUUUCGGAUACUCUCAAUUUAUUCAAAAUUGUGCCCCUCAAGAACUCUAAGGAUGCCUUCCACCUUCCCCAAGAGUUGGCCAAAUAUCUCCACGGUGUUGAUCCCCGCGUUCAUCUUCAUCACCACUCUUUACCAAGCGAGACGUCCUCCGAUAGGAAUUCUACUUCAUCCUCGCUAGCCUCAGUGGCAGAUGGUUCUUGGGAUGUAAGCCCCUAUUUUAGCACAACCUCGGGCAGCACCCCAUGCUCUUGUUGGUGGCAUUCCUCUUUUUGUUACCGUCAUUCCUGCCAGCAGCAACCUGGAUGACUUUGGCUUGGGUGUCGGCAGCAUUAAUUUCUCCAUCGUUCGUCAUUCCCUUAGUUGCAACCAUUGCUCUGAUACCACGUUGUCAUGUCCCUAGUCGUUAGUUAAAUACACGUGCGGCACUUAACAACUUGCUCACUAUCUUGCACAACUUUCUCGAGUUCUUGCUAUGCCAAGUCAGUCUUACUACACUUAAGAUGGCUAAGAGAAUGGUAGAACGAACACAAGAGAAUUGUUAAAGGAAGCCUUGUAUUAGAGAGAGAACUUGAAUUCUUUGCUUGGUGAAUUAUAAAUGAAUGACCCUCUUUAUAUACUAGUCUCUUAGGGGCUAAUGUGUAAAUAUUAAUUGUUACACAAGUCCUUAAUAUUUACAAGAUAAGGGCUUUCUCUAAUAUUCUCUACAAGCCUAGAAGUUUCCAAGACUUUCCUAGCAAAUUCAUAGGGAUCUGGGGUCUUCCAAAGGAAAUGCCCAUACUUAUCUAGAAUCUUUUCACCAAUGCUAGCCUUACUCCUAUGUAAAUUUCCACAUUUCAUUGAUAUAUGUCAAAUAGUGCCUAAUACGAUAUGAUGAUGUGGCGGGUCAUCACACUUUGCACUAAUUUCCUGAUAUAUUUCAGAAGUGACCUACCGAAGUUUAUAUGACAAAUCACAACCAUCAUUAUUCUAAUAAUGGUAAAAAUACUACUCACAUUCAAACCAAACUACUAUGUAAUACGUGUAACUUUAAUUUCAUUCACACGUUACAGUCGUAGUUAGUGUACAACUUGCGUCGCGCAAUCAUGUAAACAAAUUAAAAGAUGAUUAAAUUUAAUAAUCGUUUUAGGAGGGACAAUUUCACAUAUUUCUGUCAAAUCCUUCACCAAUGUCUUCUAAGAUGCUCCGGUCUUUGGUUGACGCUUCGGUUGCUUCCACCUGUGGCCUUUUUCGACCGCCUUGACGCGCGGCCGACUGGUUGGCAUCUGAAGCGCUGAAGCAGCAGCGAGGUUAUCAACAGCUUUUGACCUGUUUGCCUGGACAUAAAAUACCUAAAGAAGAAGAAAGAGAAAAAAAAACAUUAUUGUAAAUGGCACGAGAAAUUGACUCCUCACCUGAGGGCGGGAACCGUCUUAUCUUAGGGUAGGGGGUCGAUGUGCCACCAAUACAUUCUACCUUUUAAAUCUGGCUUUACCUGGGCCGCGUCUCGACUACUUGCCUUCGCCCAAACGUUCAACUACAGUUGAACUGGUACUUAGGCUAUGUGCCUUCGACUUCAACAAAUUACAAAGAUUCAACUACAGUUGAACGACAACUCAGGCUACGUGCCCUCGCCUAAAAGUUUGACUACAGUUGAACGGCAACUCAGGCUACGUGCCCUUGCCCAAAAGUUCAACUACGGUUGAACAAGGACUCAGACUACGUGUCCUCGAAUAAAAGUUCAACUACCGUUGAAAUGGGAUUCAAGCCAAGUGCCUUCGCCAUUAAGAAUUACAAAACGUUCGACUACGGUUGAAUGGAAACUCAGGCUACGUGCCCUCACCCAAAAGUUCAACAACUGUUGAACUGGGACUCAGGCUGUGUGCCUUCGACAUAAAAAAAUUACAAAGGGUUCAACUACGGUUGAACUGGGAUCAGGCUAUGUGCCUUCGCCAAUAAGAAUUACAAAAAGAUCAACUACGGUUGAACCACUCAGGCUACGUGCCCUCGCCCGAAAAGUUCAACUACGAGUAGAAUUAGGGCUCAGGCUACACACCUCCAUCACAAGAGUCACGAACUAAACCACGGACAAAUUAAAGCAAAGAAUGCACGCCCCCGCGGCUACGAGUCUGGCCGUAAUCAGGCGAAAUCGAAUGCCCCCAAUUGUUCAACCAUGAUUGAACCCCAGGUCGGGCCAAGCGUCCCCUCCAUUCAAGUAAGUAUGACUAACUUUACACUACAAUUUCGUCACGCGUAAAGUUCGGCCCAAGUCGAACUACAAGGCUAUGCUUUUCACUAGUACGGCCGGUAGUCUGACUAAGCCCGAACUGGGACUAAGGCUAUGUGCUGCCGCUGCCCAAACACAUCUACAACCCACCCCCACCAAGUAGAGUAAGGUGACGACCAAAAGCGUCUGUCUAUGGCCAAAGCCGUCUACACAAAUUUUUCCAUAAGGUAAGGAAAAAAUCUGACAAUGGUCGAAAUCACCUAACCGGUCGAGACCAUUAGCAUGCUCACUAGAAAAUCCCUAAGGCAAGGCCCUCUCAAACGAGCACAAAAAAGAAGCGCACAACAUUGAUACAAAACAAAUAGAAAGGAAGGAAGCCAAAUAUAUUUACAAUAUUUACAAGGGGUUACCCCUAAUUACAUUGGCCCAAGACCAGCAAAAAAAAGGGGGAGACAACCAAAUAGCAACAAAAAAAAAGAGAAACAGAGAAUGAAAACUAAACAAAUAUUACAAAUCUUUGUUCACUCGGUGUCACCAGCACCCUUUUAAACAAUGUCAACGCCCUCGGUGCCAUCAUCACCCCUGGGCGCAGAUGGGCCAAACCGCAGUCGAGGCGGGCAUCACGAGCCUUUUGGUGUGCCUCCUCAUAGGUGGCCUCAGGCACAACGCCGGCUUCCCACAACCUCAAAUACACGUUGAGUUGGGCCUUGGCGUAUGUCCAAAGCUCACAAGAAGGACUGAAAGAAGUGGCCUGAUUCCUCAUGUGCUGGUUCUCAUCCUCCAAGGCCGCAAUCCAGUUUUCCGCAGUACGGGCAUCCCACUCACAAAUAGUAAUGCGCCCCUCCAAUGCCCUCUCUCGGAAAGUAGCGGCGGCCCUCUCCAAUCCGCGUUAUCUUUCUUGGGAGCCCUUGGUUGCCUGCAACGUUUCGACCCUCCCUGGGGCGUCCUCCGCCUGCUUCCUCAUGGCAGCAGUAUCCGUCUCUAGGGCAGCCACCUGCCUAGUCAAAGCAUCACCGGCCUCUGCUGUCGUAGCCCGAUUUUGUCGCUCUCUCUCAGGGGCCGCCUUCUUUCAGUGCCCAUCUCCUUGUUUCUUUGAUGGAGCUGCCCCUCAAGGGCAUUUACCCUGUUAAGGGUCUGCUGCAUAUGAAGUUCCCUCCUCGCCACCUGUUCUACCAGCUCUCGAUUCCACGGGUCAUUCCUUAAGCGUUCACGCAAAUCAUGGCAUCGGUUCCGAUAGCGGCGGUACUUCUCCAAUAACUGCACAAAGACAGUCGAGCGGAUGUUGGCUAGGUGAAUGCUCUCCACCUCCAACAAGAAUGACUGCGGCAAGCAGGACAACGAUUAAUAUAAGAAGAUACACUAAGAAAAGAAAUUAACUGAGGCUUCACACAUACCUUUAUACUCAGAGCAGGUACCUCACCCAUCAACCCAACAUCUCAGAUGCCCCUCAAGGACGCACUCUCCACCUCCGAGCACAUAAACUCGAACAGUGUCACCAGAUUCUCCUCUUGGAGCAGAAGGUUCUGCUUAUUAGGAAUCUCUACAUCGUGGUAAUCCCCUUCGGCUUGCACCGCUGGGUGAGUAUAACCCUUCUGAAACAGACGGACGUCCUCAAGGUCCAUGUCGGACUCAAAAUCAUCGCCCUUUCCUAAGGCACCCUUUCCUUCUGCUGCCGUGGAAGUCGAGGCCUCCGCUGCUCGGGAAGUUGAAGCACCCGCACUUGCUAAAACCUCGGCACCCAUCUCCUCCUCAAAAUUAUUUGCUGAGGAACUACCUUCCCUCUCAGCAACACGAACUGAAAUUAGAAUCACCGAAGCGAUUGUGUCACUCUGGCCUAAGCCAAUCGGGGCAGCCCCAACUGAACGCUCGCCCUCUGGGCAGGAUCUGUGGCAUUCCCUUUUGCUUCCGAUGGCAGAGAAUCCAAGCUAAUCAUCACCGGAAGGACCGGGGUGAACGCCACCCUACGUCCAACCAGCGACAUCUCCUCUUCUUCCUCCUCUUCAUUCGGCGGCAACUCCACCCUGGAACGCACGGUCCCUAAAGAUUCUUUAACUCGGUGCAUAGUCCGUGCUGGAGAGUGAGCCACCAAGGAUUCAACCAAAGUCUCUCUCGGAAGUGGGCGAGGCCCCGGCAUUGCAAUCAAGCAGGCAGUCGCCCCCGACCUACGGAAAGCAAGCUGAAGAGCCCUCCUGCGAUGCGUUCACCCUAGUUGACAAAGGAAUAAAGGUCAAAGAAAAAUAAAUUUGAGUACUAUGAAAUAAGAGCAAUACAACAAGUUAAAUUCUUACCAGCAGCCGGCCUACGGCCAUGAGUCUCCCAGAAAGAUGCCCACGUACGAAUUCCCUCUAUAACAGGAAGCACGGCCUUGACCCUCUCGCGGAUGCCGGAAAGCAAUGCCGGCGGUGCACCCCCAGCUACGGCACAAGAAGAAGUUCAGUAUGUACGAAUAUGAAACGGGACAUUUUUUCAAAAGAAAUCAAGACCAGCGUAAAAGAAACUUACGUGCAUGAUUCCAUUCCUCCAGGAUGUUAGUAGCGCAAGCCACUAGGUGCUCCUGAUGUAGAAAAAAUGCUCAUAGGGACGGGUAUCGACCUCGUCAUCAAGUUCUGCAUUUAAGCUGCCGGCCCCAUGAGGAACCAACCGAAUCAUGGUGCCUCGUACCCUCUAGGGGGCAUAGAGAGUUAACACAUGCCCAAGGGUAAUCUCCCUCCGUUCCAACUCCGCAUAUUUUAUCAACAUCGCCAACAGCUUGUAGCGGGAGGGGACAAGCUGAUCAGGGCAUACAUUGUAGUAGCGACAGAAGUCCACCACUAGCAUUGGGAGAGGAAGUCUGAAUCCUAGCUUGAAAGGGUAGGCGUAAAAGAUGCAAUACCCUCGGUGGUCAACAUGUACCCUCUCCCCGCUCCUAGCAAGAACGAUGUCAGCAAAGCGAGAAAUGUCACAUUGAUCCUUCAAUUGGGCGAUGCCCACCUCCCCCACCAAUGGGGAUUCAUCCAUUUGGUCCUCUCCUUCAUAAUCGGUGAAAUCGCCCGUCGGACUGCCGAGCAGAGAGAGAAUGUGGAUCACCUAUGGGAGCCUGUCAAUACCCGCCGAAUCGAUGGUUCUCACCACCGUUGAUGGACCCUCGGCUGCCGGAACUACCACUGGAGCAAUAUCAGAACGAGAACUACUCGCCAUUGUCAAUAUAUCAAAAGAAAGUGAGCAAAGUUCAUCGGAAAAGCGAAGGAAAAUGAAGAUCUGACGAUAGACAACGGAGAAUAAAGUAACAAAGAAUAGAAGAUAAAGCAAUCCGAGAAUAAAAAGAGUUAUCUCUCUCAAAAUUUCACUUGAGCAAAUACUGGAAAAGUAUGAAUUGAAGGAUACAACCCUUUAUUUAUAGACAAAGCAUAAAUGGCUUUAUUCCAAAGGCCAUCGUUAACUGCCUGACCUACCGCAAAACAGUUCAGAUCUAUAGUAACAGACAUCAUUAUGACAAAUAUCGUGGAACGGCCAUUCAACCGUCAGUCGGCACAUCACCCUCGAAAAUGGUUGUAACGGUCCCAGGACACCAAAAGCAUGUCUCAUGCGUCACUAAGCGUAUAACGCCUCCCCUAUAUGCGGCAAGACUAAUCGUAUCCCUGCCAAACGUGCGUAAUUGGCUACUGCCGUCUCUAGAUCAAUAGUGGCUAUGGCUAUCUUCAAAAUAAUUCUGGCCACGACCGUCUCCAAAAGUAAUAGUAAUUGCAUCUAUCUUUGAAGCAACAACAACCACUGCAGUAUCUUGAAUACAAAAUAAUUACAACAAUCCCCUUAGUAAGAGUGGCUACGGCCCUCUCAAAGCAAGGAACGGUUAUCUCCGUCUCGCAAAAAUAAGGUGACUACAACCGCCAGCCCGAAAAAGGGUAUAUAUAAACAAAAGGUCACGGCCGUUUCAGAUAAACGAACGGCUAUGGCCAGUCGCUCGUAUGAAAACCAACCAAAGAAUUGCGACCGCGGUCGUCGAUCGUGAAUUCACUUAACAAACAGCUCCAUCGCAGUCAAGGACUGUUCAUGCAAAAUGGCUACAGCCAUUUCCAAAAAAUAAAUGGCUACGACCAUCUUCAAAGUAUAAAUGGCUACGGCCAUCUCCAAAAAAAAUAAAUGGCUACGGCCAUCUUCAAAGUAUAAAUGGCUACGACCAUCUCCAAAAAAAUAAAUGACUACGGCCAUCUUCAAAGUAUAAAUACCUACGGCUAUCGGCAAAAUCCGCUCACCGAGCUCGGCCGGAUCCCGACCUCAAUAAGUGGAGGGACUAUCUGUAUGGGUCAAAUUUAGAUUCAUGGUAAGUAGCUCGUCUAACUAGCUCCUAAGCUCGUUCGGGCUAAUAAAAGGUAUAACCAUUCACUGACCAAAGUACUUCAAGGUUAUUCAACCUAAUUAGUAAGAUCACAGCCUACUCAUUGCACAUGGACGUCCCUUCGACGCAGCUACGGUCAUCCCUCGCCAGUUGGAAAGAUUCAUAGCUAUAAAUAUAAAGAGAAAAAACCCUAAAAGGGGGCUUCUUGUUCUUCUUUUUCACAUCUACUUCUAAGAGAAGCGAAUAUACAUCAUUGUAAGGCUCUGAACCUCUCCAUGGAGAGGCAGACAAAAUCAAUAUCAUUAAUAAAAGAUCUCUACUCUCCUCCCCUCAACCAAUAACUACUGUCUCUUACAUUUUAUUCAUUUAGUCAUUCGAUUUAUUACGAUCAGCUAUGAUUGGCCCUCGGUUGAUUUUAAUUGAUUUAUGCUUACAAAGUAUAUGAGAAAUUUGAGCUACACAAUAUGCAUAAGAGUUACCUAUAAUAUUUUCAUCACUUUACUUCCUUUUGAUAUUUAAAAAUUCAGGACAUAAGUGAUAAGCCUAUAACACUUCUUGUGAGGACAUUUGUUAAAACAUGAUUAAUAGAACUGUAUGAGGUAAAAAUGUGGUUCACCUUGCCGCCGUCUAACUGAGUACACUCCACACAAUGAGGCCUCCCUCAAAUCCUUACUAAUUAGACGAGGACGGCCCGAUCAAGGACGUCCUGAUUUAUUAAGCAGAGAAACGACACAGUUUUGAGCUAAGCCUCGACCGUAAAAAAGUCCAACAACCCUUGUACUUUACUUUUGGUGUAUUUCAAGAAAAGGUAUCCUAGUAUAUAAAGGGGACCUUAAAUUUGUAAUAGGGCAGAUUGAUUACUCUAAAUAUACCAACACUCUCUCUAUCUCUACUGUUAUCGAACUCUCUCUCUCUCUCUGUCUCUCUACUAUUAUCAAGCAAACUUCUUCAUAUUUCUUUAUCUCUUUCUAACAGCAAGAACUCUCUGUUAUCUUUUAUACCUUAAAGAUCUACCACGAUCCCAGUACAAUAACCAUUUCUAGGGCUUAUUAUACUUGAUUACGAUUUACCCCCAUAUUUUUUUGAUUGUUUUCUUAGCUUAUAAAGUGCAUAGAUCUUUUGAGAAAAAUAAUUUGGUGCCGUCUGUGCGGAUUUCAAGAAUAAAAGUUAUAGUUUUUUCCUAGAAAACUACCGACAACCAUCCUUUUCAUCACACAAACGAGUAUGGCUGACAACUGUGCGAAAAAGAAAGCGAUAGAUGGGGUUGGGGUCAACCUCAUGGAUUCGCUCAAUGAGGUAGGUUAAUGUAAUCUCUUGAACGCAACCCCCAGCACCAUGAUGAGCGGAGGAACCCCAUGUCACACCUCAUUUUUAGUUAUACACCCCCGCAAAGGCAUAAAGGAUUUUUUCCACUUAAAGGACAAUCGAAACGGGAUUUAGUUUAUUAAUUAUUUCAGAGUCGCCACUUGGGAGAUUAAUGGUGUCCCAAGUAACCAAUUGAAUCCCGAACCGAGGAAAAAGACUACUCUAUUCACACUUUGCGAACCAGAAAUACGGAUAAGGAAUUCUGUUAACCCGGAAGAAGGUGUUAGGCAUUCACGAGUUCCGUGGUUCUAGCACGGUCGCUCAACUGUUGCAUUUGAUUUUAUCUGAUUUUGAUAUAUGCUAGCAUAUGUGCCUUUUACAAAACCGCUUUUACCAUUAUUUAUUUUAAAGGAUUUUCGAUGUCGUGAAAAAACGUCUUUGACCACGUCGCUAUCAGGGCACCCGUAGUCAUCGACACAUUUUGACUUCGUCGAGAAUUGGAUUUGGGUCGCAUCAAUGUGCACCCGAGUUUAAGAAAAUAUAUUAAUUAAAUCGCGCUUAAAUGUUCUAACUAAUAUUGUUUGGGAAAGGCCGUUGAAAUUCACUAAAAGGCCCUUCCUAAUUCAAACCAUUUUUAAUAAACAAUUAUUGAGGGCCCCGCAUUUAUUUUUGUUCGGUGAGGCUCGUCUCCAUUUUUAAAACCAAUUUUCGAUCGUUGUUUAUUUUAUAAGAACCCGGUCGCCAUCAAGGCACCCUUCGUCAUCAACACAUUUCGACUUCGCCGAGAUUUGGAUUUGGGUUGCAUCAAUGCACACCCGAAUUUAGGAAAGUACUUUAAUUAAAAUGCGUCUACAGAUUCUAUCGCAAAUUUAUUCAGGGAAAGCCGUGAAAUUCACUAAACGACCCUCCUGAUUCUAAUAAAUAAUUAUAAUUAUUUAUUGAGGGCCCCACAUUUAUUUUUGUUUGGUGGGGCUCGUCUCAACAAUUAUUAAAAGGCCAACUUAGAAGUGACUAUGGUUUUUCUAUCUAAAUCCGUCUCUAAACGAAAAGAAAAAAAUCAUAAUCAAUUAUCGAUUAAAAACAAGUCAAAUGGCUUCGAGAUACAGGCCCAAAUUGUGGCCUAAGCCAUGAAUAGCUCAGCCGCCAGGCCUUAUGGCCUUAAUCUUGGGAUCGAUUCCCCGGGCUGAAUUUAAAUGCAGAAGUUGGGCUUGGCAUCCUUAACUUCAGAAACACACACAUUGAGUGAAGCCAAGUGACUGUAUUCAAAUUAUUUCAACCAAACGUAGUGAAUAACUAGUGAUUAAAAAAAUAACACUCAUUCAUUUGGGUCACAUUGAUGAUGAUCAAACUUCAAAAACAUUAAUUAAUCUCUAUAAAGAAACUGUGAAAUCACCUAAAACGAAAAUACCUUCUAGUAAACCAACUAAAUUAUUUUAAAAAUGAACAAUGGUAAUUGCUAAAUACAGACACAUCCACUUUCUGUUCGAUCCUCAAUUAAAAUAAGUGAGGCUAUAAGCCUAAGGAACGAGUAAUUAAUUCACACUAUCAAGCUCAACAAAAAAUGCUAUUUUAGUUUCUGAUUUUACGCUAACAGCCGUGAAGAUUCACAAUACAAACUAGAAUUACCCCAAAACACAAACACAAGAAAUUAAUUUGUAGUCUGGCAGAAUUCUACUAUACAAAUUGAUUCAAGAACUCAAAUAACAGGUUACUUCAUUGUUGAAACUAGGCAAAACAAAGUAGAUUAAAAAUCGAUUACCAACAGCAACUCUCAUGGCAUUUCGACACAUUCAUCAAAUCCAAAUUACAUCAGUGAAGAUUCAGAUGAGUACCUGGGAAUAGAGUUUCAACAAUACAAUAGGAGUCAGCAGCAGCAGUGAUAGUAUUAGAUCAAAGCCAAUGCAACUAACAGCAGUGUAUGAUCCAGAAGCAUACACUAGAACCAAGGAUAGUUUGAAAUCGACCAAGUAUGAGAAAAGUAAGCCUAAAUCAACUUCAACAGACCCACAGUAGCUCAAAUAAGUCCCAGCCCCAUUCCAAAACCCAACCAAGGUGAUUUCAGAACUUCAAAUACCCAAUACUGAACUAUAAUGGCAAACAGGUAGCUAAACAUGAAUUUGAAUCACAAAACUUCAAUGAAACGGUCUAUUAUUCUAAAAAAAAUUGUUACUGCAUUUUCUGUUUUUUUUUUUUUUUGGGUUUUAUUUUUGAGAUUUUCUAUUGUUUUUGUUUUUGAAUCUGAGGAAAACUAAGAUCUAAUGGUAUGAACUAAAAUUGAAUUGCAAAUCUGGAAUGCUGAGGAGUAUACUUGGGGGAAUUUUUUGGCUGUCGGAAGAAGAACCUCUAAGGCCUGAUACGUGGCUUAAAUAGGCCAGAAAGAAG